RNAcentral lists this transfer RNA (70 nucleotides) under Dipodomys ordii (Ord's kangaroo rat). It matches the Rfam family "tRNA". From Rfam's summary of the family: Transfer RNA (tRNA) molecules are approximately 80 nucleotides in length. Their secondary structure includes four short double-helical elements and three loops (D, anti-codon, and T loops). Lineage: Eukaryota; Metazoa; Chordata; Mammalia; Rodentia; Heteromyidae. The record is from Rfam by way of RNAcentral.
GGGAAUGUGGCUUAAUGGCAGAGUGCUUGCCUAGCAUGCAUGAAGUCCUGGGUUCGAUUCCUCAGUACCA